Molecule: small nuclear RNA, 107 nt
Organism: Delphinapterus leucas (beluga whale)
Lineage: Eukaryota; Metazoa; Chordata; Mammalia; Artiodactyla; Monodontidae
Source: Ensembl
GUGCUCGCUUCAGCAGCACAUAUACUAAAAUUGGAACGAUACAGAGAAGAUUAGCAUGGUCCCUGCGCAAAGAUGAUGCGCAAAUUCGUGAGGCGUUCCAUAUUUUA